GUGCUCUCAUUGGCUGCUCAUAUUCUAGAACUGGAAUGAUACAGAGAAGAUUAGCACAGCCCCUGUGCAAGGAUGACAUGCAAAUUCGUUAAGUGUUCCAUAUUUCU
Small nuclear RNA from Hyaena hyaena (striped hyena), 107 nucleotides. Lineage: Eukaryota; Metazoa; Chordata; Mammalia; Carnivora; Hyaenidae. The record is from RefSeq and is a predicted model, not a curated record.